Hypanus sabinus (Atlantic stingray) is the source of this 8865-nucleotide long non-coding RNA. RefSeq lists it as uncharacterized. The transcript is spliced from 3 exons. Lineage: Eukaryota; Metazoa; Chordata; Chondrichthyes; Myliobatiformes; Dasyatidae. The record is from RefSeq and is a predicted model, not a curated record.
GCAGAAUUUCGCAGCAGUUUUUCUGCAUUGAGGAAUGACCAAUCAGCAAGAGGGAUUCAUUUGAAAGAGCCAAUAAGAAUAACUGAAGUGCAAGUGGAGCAGCCUUUCUUGGAAUUAUGGAGACUUUAUAUCGUGGAGCUGCCGGUUUGACAACUGAUACAUAAUUCAUUUCUGAUACUGGGGAAUUAACCUUGCAGUGGUGGUCAAGUGUGAAGACAAAGCUGACAUGUUUGGUGCUUAAGUACGAGAAAAGAAACUGUUUCCAGUGGAUGGAGCUUCAAUGGCCACGGAGGAGGAAGAAUUAAGCCAUCCACGAAAACAGAAGAGUACCCCAAAGAAUGAGUGACAGUAAGAACAGUAAAGCCCCUCCUACUCCCUCCUCCCACACACAUGCAGCAGCAAAGCUCCCAUGCAAGACCAUGAUCUGCAGUACAGCCGAAACCAACCGUUCAACCGACAGUUCAACAUACCACAGGCUCGGGGACAGAGAGGUGUCGCCCUUUCACAGUGAGAGGAGAAACAUAAGCAAAACAACUCAUUGAUUUAUGGUCAUAAAGUCGCUUUUUUUUUUGCACUCUCCAUCUUGAGAAUGGGCAACAAAUUCUCCCCACCAAUGGGAGAAAGAGAGAGAGCAUGCGAUCUGAAUAUUGGGCCCCCGGCAGCUGAUCCGCUGUUCCUGACGUUCCGGUUUCUCCCGUGACACUUCAGUCUGUGGCACCAGCAUGGAAUCAACUGGUCCCCAGGGCCGCAAAGCCUGAGAACCCCGAAGGUGCACUCAUCUUCCGCGUCCUUGGGAUUUCGAAAACCGGGCAGUCGAUGACCUCUGGGUGCGGGUCCCAGCACCGCAAAGAACCAAAGUUUGAGAGCAACUCGAGGUCAGGGUCUUCACCAGAAACCCGUCCACCUUGUAAGGGGAAAAUAGAGAUAUUAGAAGUAGAAAUUAAGCCGUUUCUGCAGAUGAGCUCGAAGGAGUCACUGUUGAGCACCGCCGUAGCUCUGACCUCGCACUGUGAGCUGUCCGUGACGUGAACAAUCUGCAAGUUGGAAACGUGAAGUGAGUUCCCUCACUGAGAAAAUGCCUGUGGCUGGCAAAUCCAUCCGCUGGUCUCCCAAACGUUCACUCGUAUGUGUUGGAAUUGGUUUAUUAUUGUCACAGGUAUCGAGGUACAGUGAAGGAGCUUGCCAUGCAUACUGUUCAUACAGAUCAGAUCAUUACUCAGUGUAUUGAAAUAAAACAAGGUAAAACAAUAGCAAUGCAGAAUAAAGUGUAACAGCUACAGAGAAAAUGCGGUGUAGGUAAACAAAAGUGCAAAGUCUUAACGAGGUGUAUUUUGAGGUCAGGAUAUUUUAUUGUCCAAGAGGUCCAUUCACACGUUAACAGCCGAAUGGAAGCUGCACAUGAAAUGCUGGAGGAACUCAGCAGGUCUGGCAGCAUCUGUGGAAAUGAAUAAACAGUUGACGUUUAGGGCCAAGACUCCUCUUCAGGAAGAGGGAAGGUGCCAGGAUACAAAGGUGGAUGGGAGGGCAAGGAGAAUAGCUGGAAGGUGAUAGGUGAAGCCAGGUAAGUUGGAAAGAUCAAGGGCUGGAGAGGAAAGAAUCUGAUUGGGGAGUAGAGUGGACCAUGGGAGGAAGGGAAGGAAAAGGAGCACCGGGGGUGAAAGGCAGCCAGAGUCAUGGUGGUAUGGUAUGUGCUUUCAGGUUUUUGUAUCUUCUGCCCAUUGGGAGAUGGGAGAAGAGAGAAUGUGGCAAUGAUAAUAAUCUUGCAUUUUCAGUCAGUAAGAGCCUUGUUUAGUAUAAAACUACUUGCAAUAUAAUUUUUCAAGUGAAACGUAUUCUAUAACUCCAGCGCAAUAUCUUACAAGGUCACCAGUUUAGGUUAUUUAUUUGCUCUGUCACUUCAUGAACAAAAAUUUGAGAUGUUCUCAAGGGUGUGAUCAGUAACGUAAUCCACACCUCUUCAUAUAUAAAACUUCAUAAAUCUGCUUCAUUAUUUGUACCUGACUGGCACAUUCCCAGACAGAAAACUCUAACCAACUUUCCUAACCUGGUAAGCUCAACUCCACAAUUCCGUGACUGACUCAGUUGAGAUUUGUUGUCUUUGAGACCUACACCUCUGAAUCAGACUCCAGUAGUACUUCAAGGAUCAACAUUAUUCACCAUAGACACUUACAUGUAGUAGGAAUUUGCUGUAGUGUGUUGGUCCAACAUGCAACAAAAACAAGAAAAUUCAACAAUGACUAAAUUAUAUAACAAUAAAGUUAGUGGUUAAAGAAUGGAUAUGGAAUAAACUGUGCAUAAACAGAUAAAACCAGCAUGUAUUUACAAUGUAAACAGCAUUAUUAGAGGUCUGUGAGAGUGUUUACAGUGCAGUGACUGAGGUAGCAGAUGGAGGGGGUGGAGGAACAACUAAAUUGGUUGAUCAGAUUAAUAACCUGGGGGAAGAAACUUAUAAGAUAGCAUGAAGAUUUUGAUUGAAUAGCCCUACAGCACCUUGCAGUAAAGAGAUUUUAGGAAAGACAUUUUGUUUGAGUGGCUAGUGUCCACAAUGAUUUUUCAUGCCCACUUCUUUGUCCUGGACACAUGGUAGCCUGCAGCCUAGGACCUGUCUGCUGACUUUAGAGGUCACUGUCGUUUCCAUAUACGAAUGGGUAUAGCUGCAAGGCAGUGGAGGUUUGGGAUCCGAGUUUUCCUUCUAGAUGAGCAGCCAACCGUGGCUGACAAGCCCAUCUGCCUGAAGUUUUAAGGUGCCAGUAACCCGCCUUUUUCCCAUUCUCCUGUCAGUAGGGCUGGAAGGUGGCGGAAGGAGGGAAUUCUUGCAUGUUGGAGGCAGGACCCCUCAUCGCAUUGAGUCACCGGACUGUGUCCACCCACAAAGCUGUCAGCUGAGUGCUGAGAAGUGGGGCUGAUUUCUAUCUCCUAGUGUUGACUGACAUGGACACAAUGGGCCAAAUGGCCUCUCUUUGUGCUGUAAUGAUCCUUUGACUUAACACAAUCUGAUGCUUAUGUGAAAGAUUUAUUUUAGGCACACUGGUCUGGUGUCAUUAGAGCUCAGAUUAUUUCACUGCCUCAGAUCAUCUCUCAGUCAGUUACAUUAACUAAUUUUCUUUGAAUUGUCGAUGACGCCAAGGCAGAAAGCCAUGGGAUGGUGAGAUGGAUGUCAUCUUGCAUGGAGCAUCAUACUGCAUUAGGUUUAUAGCUUUAGAAAUCAAAGGACACUAGUUGUGUAAAUAGUUAAGAAAUUAAUUCUUACACAUCUGCAUCCCUUUGUACCCUAAAACUCCAAUAAUUCAGUCAUUGUCAGUACCUGAUUGGUAGACUUCUUGAAACAUUGGUUCUUCUUUUUAUUAACACACCAAAACAUUUAUAAUAUACUUUCUUUUAAAGAUAUUACAUAGCGUUAUCAUAAAUAUGUCCAGUUCUGGUCACUUCAUUAUAGAAAGGACAUGGAGGUUUUGGAAAGGAUCAACAGAAGUUUUCAAAAGGCUUUGCAGCCUUCUACCAGGAAGUGAGCUGUGAGAGGUUGGACAAACUUAGGUUGUUUUCUCUGGAGGCAAAAGGGGGACCUGAUCAAUGCUUAUAAAAUUAUGGAGGCUUAGAUAGAUAGCUGCAGGAGUCCAUGAGGUCACAAAGAGUCAGACACGACUAAACAGCAAUGAUAGAGUCCCGUUAUCUUUUGCUAAAGGUUGAACUGUCCAAUACCAGAGAACAUGAGAUAGGAAAGUUAAAAGGAGACUUGUGAGGCAAAGUAUGUUUACAUGGAGGGUAGUGGAUGCAGAUACGGUGGUGAUGUUUCAGAAGUUGUUAGACAAGCACAUUAAAAGCAGGGAACAAGAAUAUUCAGAUUCAAAUUGAUUUAUUACAUGUGCAUCAAAACAAAGUGCUUGCAUUAACAACCAACACCUGCAAGGAUGUGCUGGGGAGAACCCACAAGUGUCACACAUAUUCCAGUACCAACAUAGCAAUCCACAGUGAUCCACAGAACACAACAAUACAGAACAUACCUGUACAGGCAGAAGAGACUUAGUUUAAUUUGUCAUCGUGUUUGGUACAGGCAUUGUGUUCCUGUGCUGUACUGUUCUAUGUUCAGUGUUCUAUAUCCACCGAAUGUGAUGAGUUGAAAGGGAAUAUGGGAACCAGAGCUGCAGGAAGUUUAAAGAGAUCAUCGUAAACAUCACUUAGAUAACCCAUUGCCUAACUAUCAACCUUUCUGAAUAGUCAAGGGAGGAUUAUUAUCAUUUCAUUAUGCUUUCUGCUCAAUAUGGAAUUAAUUCAAUGAUUCUUUUGGUUUUUUGUUGUGUUUCCGACAGGAUUAGGAUUGGAAUUGUUACUUUUAUUGAGUUUUUCCUUGUAGUAUUAUCUUUCUUUAUGUUUCCUUAUAUGUUUGUGUGAUCACUUGAUUGCCUGUAAACUUAGUAACCUGAUGUAUGGUGAAGUGCAGGCCUUCUACUUACCAAGGGAGAUCACUGCCAUUGAGAUUAUUGCUAUUUACACCACCCCCCAGUGCUGCAGCCACUCUCCCUGAUGGUGGCUUCAUUGUUGCUGGUGACUUCAAGUCAUACCAACUUGAACAGACUUGCCAAAGUUCUACCACACGUCAACUUCACAACCAGGAGAGAGAAUAUAUUAGACCUGGUCUGUACCAACGUUCAUGCAAGGCUGCCCCCCCCACCCCAACCCACCAUGGUCUUAUGGUGUUCUGAAGCACAAUGUCGGAAAGACAGCAGGUGGUUUAGGCAUAGUUUACUCACAAGUAGCAACGCAAGAAUAAUCGGGUUGUUCUCAUGAUGUGGAGAGUGAAGUAUUAGACGAGCCACUGAACUGUUCAGAGCAAUUACUCUGGGAGGUUUAUAUCUCCUUUAUCUCCUGUGAACACUCAACGCCACCUCUUGACAACAGGCCCUUGAGCAUUAGGAGAUUUGCCCAAUAUCAGGAGAUUUACCUCAUAUUUGGAAUUUUGAAAGCAAUAAUGGGCCCCACAUGUAUGGAGGGACCUGCUGGCCCAAGAAUGGUCCCAGGAAUGAAGGCUUGAGUUUGAUGUCUCUGGGCCUGUACUCAGUGGAGUUCAGAAGGAUGAGGGGAGAUCUCAUUGAAGCCUACCAGAUAUCGAAAGGCUUGGAUGAAGAGUUGUUUCCAUUAGUAGGUCAGUCUAGGCUGCAACGGCAUAGCCUUGGAGUAAAGGGACAUCCCCUUAAAACUGAGAUGAGAAGGAAUUCAUCACCAGAUGGUGGAGAAUCUGUGGACUCUAUUGCCACGGAAGACUAUGGAGACCAUGUUAUUGGGUAUAUUUAAAGCAGAGAUUGAUGGGCUCUUUAUUGGUAAGGCAGUUAAGGGUUAUGAGGAGAAGGCAAGAGAAAAGAAGUCAGCCAUGAUUGAAUGACAGAGAAGAAUCAAUGGCCUGCUUGGCUUAAUUCUGAUCUUACAUCUUACCUUGUGGUUUUGUGGAGGAAAGAGAUCAAAGACUCUUGACCAAGAGGACAGGCUUAAGGAACUGGGUCUUUCAUCAAGAAAUGGUAGAUGGCUGAUAACACAGGUUGUUUUUAUAUUCCUGAUAUUUGAGCUUUUGAAAUCAUUUACUUCAGUUGGUUUUCUUCAUUGCUGUCUAACAUUAUAGAAAUGUCUCUGAACCACAACCUCUCCUUUGACUGAAUACCACAUCAAUAAUGCAGUUUCUCCUGUCACUGGACAUCACUUUCAAUUAUGGUCUCUUCAAGUCCAUUCAAACUGAUCAGUCAAUGCUGGAAAUCCCUGGCUCCCUUUGGAUUGGAAUAGAACCAUAGAACACUACAGCACAGAAAACAGGCCCUUCGGCCUUUCUAGUCUGUGACAAAACUUUAUUCUGCUAGUCCCUUUGACCUUAACCCAGUCCAUAACCCUCCAGACCUCUCCCAUCCAUGUAUCUAUCCAAUUUAUUCUUAAACUUAAGAGUGAGCCUGCAUUUACCACAUCAGAUGGCAGUUUGUUCCACACUCCCACCACCCUCUGAGUAAAGAAGUUCCCCCUAAACCUUUCCCCUUUCACCCUAAAGCCAUGUCCUCUCGUAUUUAUCUCUCCUAAUCUAAGAGCCUACUCGUAUUUACUCUGUCUAUACCCCUCAUAAUUUUGUAAACCUCUAUCAAAUCCCCCCCUCAUUCUUCUACACUCCAAGGAAUAAAGUCCUAACCUGUUUAAUCUUUCCCUGUAACUCAACUCCUGAAGACCCGACAACAUCCUAGUAAAUCUUCCCUGCACUCUUUCAACCUUAGUGAUAUCCUUCCUAUAGAUAGGUGACCAGAACUGAACACAAUAAUGUUGCAAAUGUAGUCUCAGAAUCCAAAAAAAGACAGAAAACCAGGAACUAAAAGCCAGGUAUCCUGUGAACGUAGCAGGAAUUCGUGGUCUGAUAGCUGGAGGAGCUCAGCAGGCCAAGCAGCAUCUGGAACUGUCGACAUUUUGGGUUGAAACUCUGUGUUGGGAGAGUGGAGAGGGGAAAUAACCGGUCUAAAUUGGAGAAGGGGAGCAUGGCAGCAUAGCAGAGGUUCAAUUCCUGCUGCUGUCUGGAAGGAGUUUGUACAUUCCUCCCUUUGACCAUGUGGUUUCCUCCUGGUGCUCCGGUUGCCUCCCACAGUCCAAAGAGGAACGGGUUAUGGCUGUAAGUUGUGUGCAUGCUGUGUCAGUGCAGAAGUAUGGCCGCACUCGUGGGCUGUGCCCAGCACGUCCUCAUGGGUGUCAUCUGCAAGGACCAUUGUGCUGGUCAAUAAUGGGAAUGACGUAUCUCAAUGUUCAGUACAAAGCUAAUCUUUGAGGAUGUGACUAAACACAUUGAUGAAGGUAGAGUAGAAGAUGUAGUGUAUAUGGGUUUCAGCAAGGCUUAUUGAGAAAGUAAGGAGGCAUGGGAUCCAAAGGGACAUUGCUUUGUGGAUCCAGAACUGGCUCACCCACAGAGAGCAAAGAGUGGUUGUAGACGGGUCAUAUUCUACAUGGAGGCUGGUGGCCAGUGGAGUGCCUCAGGGAUCUGUUCUGGGACCCCUUCUCUUUCAGAUAUUUAUAAAUGACCUGGAUGAGGAAGUGGAGGGAUGGGUUAGUAAAUUUCCUGAUGACACAAAGGUUGGAGGUGUUGUAGAUAUUGUGGACGGCUGUCAGAGGUUACAGCGGGACAUUGAGACUGGGCUGAGAAGUGGCAAAUGGUUCAACCCGGAUAAUUGUGAGGUGGUUCAUUUACGAUGAGUCAAAUAAGUCAAAUACGAUGGCAGAAUAUUGUAUUAAUGGUAAGACUCUCGGCAGUGUGGACGAUCAGAGGGAUCUUGGGGUCCGAGUCCAUAGGACGCUCAAAGCUGCUGCGCAGGUUGACUCUGUGAUUAAGCUGCAUUGGCCUUCAUCAACCGUGGGAUUGAGUUUAAGAGCCAAGAGGUAAUGUUACAGCUAUAUAGGACCCUGGUCAGACCCCACUUGUAGUACUGUGUUCAGAUCUGAUCACCUCACUACAGGAAGGAUGUGGAAACUAUAGAAAGAGUGCAGAGGAGAUUUACAAGGAUGUUGUCUGGAUUGGGGAGUAUGCCUUAUGAAAACAGGUUGAGUGAACUUGGCCUUUUCUCCUUGGAGCGACGGAGGAUGAGAGGUGACCUGAUAGAGGUGUACAAGAUGAUGAGAGGCAUUGAUCGUGUGGAUAGUCAGAGGUUUUUUCCCAGGGCUGAAAUAGUUAACAUGAGGGUGUAUAGUUUUAAGGUGCUUGGAUGUAGGUACAAAGGAGAUGUUAAGGGUAAGUUUUUUAUGCAGAGAGUAGUGAUUGUGUGGAAUGGGCUGCCGGUGAUGGUGGUGGAGGCGGAUACAAUAGGGUCUUUUAAGAGACUCCUGGAUAGGUACAUGGAGCUUAGAAAAAUAGAGGGCUAUGGGUAAGUCUAGGUAAUUUCUAAAGUAAGCCUAUAUUGUGUUGUAGGUUUCCUGUAUUUCUUUGAGUGAUGAAAGAGGCAAGGGAUGAGUGGUGGACUGAGGCAGGAGGGAGUGUUGAGUGAUUAAACAAAGGUGAGGGAUGAGUGGUGGACUGAGGCAGGAGGGAGUGUUGAGUGAUUAAACAAAGGUGAGGGAUGUGUGGCGGACUGAGGCAGGAGGGAGUGUGAAUAAACAGAGCUGAGGGAUGAUUGCUGGAUGGAGAUAGGAGGGAGUGAUUAAACAGAGGUGAGGGAUGAGUGGUGGACAGGGAGGAGGGGGUGUUGAGUGAUUAAACAGAGGUGAGGGAUGAGUGGUGGACUGAGGCACAAGGGGGUUUUGAGUGAUUAAGCAGAGGUAAGGGAGGGGGGUGUUGAGUGAUUAAAUGGAGGUGUGGGAUGAGUGGUGGACUGAGGCAGGAGGGGGUGUUGAGUGUUGAUAGUUAUUCUCAUUGCCUUUAAUUUGAGACAAUGUGUUUGUCCCUCCUCGCCUGGCCUGAGGUGACAGUGAUCGGAGCUACUUUACCCUCUCCCACCCCAUGUUUGUGUCAGCUCUUCUCAUUGCCACCAUCAGUGGGGAGGUUCAGGAGCCCGAAGACACACAUCAAAUGUAUUAGAAUUAGUUUCUUCCCCUCCAUCAUCCGAUUUCCGAAUGGACAAUGAAACCAUGGAAACCACUCCACUUUCCACUAUAUACUUGAUUUAUUAAUAUAUAUAUUUCUUAAUGUAAUGUAUAGUUUCAUUGUGAUUUUGUGUUGCAUUGUACUGCUGCUGCAAAACAACAAAUUUCACAACAUAUGCCAGUGAUAUUUAAUCUGAUUUUGAUUCAGAUUCUGUCUGAAGCGAACUUUAAUGUUGUAAUAUUUCCAACAUAAUUUCUGAGAUACAUUCCAGUUGGUCAGUCUUAAUAAACUUUUUGCUUCAACGAAUCUUCAAAUGGAAAAACACUUCUGAGUCAAUUACA